Molecule: ribosomal RNA, 1400 nt
Filed under: Prochlorococcus marinus str. MIT 9303
Lineage: Bacteria; Bacillati; Cyanobacteriota; Cyanophyceae; Synechococcales; Prochlorococcaceae
Description: bacterial SSU rRNA
Rfam family: Bacterial small subunit ribosomal RNA
Source: RNAcentral
GAUGAACGCUGGCGGCGUGCUUAACACAUGCAAGUCGAACGAACCUUCGGGUUAGUGGCGGACGGGUGAGUAACGCGUGGGAAUCUGCCCUCAGGAGGGGGAUAACGGUUGGAAACGGCCGCUAAUACCCCAUAUGCCGAGAGGUGAAAUGAAUUUCGCCUGAGGAUGAGCCCGCGUCUGAUUAGCUAGUUGGUGAGGUAAUGGCUCACCAAGGCAUCGAUCAGUAGCUGGUCUGAGAGGAUGAUCAGCCACACUGGGACUGAGACACGGCCCAGACUCCUACGGGAGGCAGCAGUGGGGAAUUUUCCGCAAUGGGCGCAAGCUGACGGAGCAACGCCGCGUGAGGGAUGAAGGCCUCUGGGCUGUAAACCUCUUUUCUCAAGGAAGAAGAUCUGACGGUACUUGAGGAAUAAGCCACGGCUAAUUCCGUGCCAGCAGCCGCGGUAAUACGGGAGUGGCAAGCGUUAUCCGGAAUUAUUGGGCGUAAAGCGUCCGCAGGCGGCUUUUCAAGUCUGCUGUUAAAACGUGGAGCUUAACUCCAUCAAGGCAGUGGAAACUGAUUGGCUUGAGUGUGGUAGGGGCAGAGGGAAUUCCCGGUGUAGCGGUGAAAUGCGUAGAUAUCGGGAAGAACACCAGUGGCGAAGGCGCUCUGCUGGGCCAUAACUGACGCUCAUGGACGAAAGCCAGGGGAGCGAAAGGGAUUAGAUACCCCUGUAGUCCUGGCCGUAAACGAUGAACACUAGGUGUCGGGGGAAUCGACCCCCUCGGUGUCGUAGCCAACGCGUUAAGUGUUCCGCCUGGGGAGUACGCACGCAAGUGUGAAACUCAAAGGAAUUGACGGGGGCCCGCACAAGCGGUGGAGUAUGUGGUUUAAUUCGAUGCAACGCGAAGAACCUUACCAGGGUUUGACAUCCUGCGAAUCUCUUGGAAACGAGAGAGUGCCUUUGGGAACGCAGUGACAGGUGGUGCAUGGCUGUCGUCAGCUCGUGUCGUGAGAUGUUGGGUUAAGUCCCGCAACGAGCGCAACCCACGUUUUUAGUUGCCAGCAUUCAGUUGGGCACUCUAGAGAGACCGCCGGUGAUAAACCGGAGGAAGGUGUGGAUGACGUCAAGUCAUCAUGCCCCUUACAUCCUGGGCUACACACGUACUACAAUGCUACGGACAAAGGGCAGCAAGUUCGCGAGGACAAGCAAAUCCCAUAAACCGUGGCUCAGUUCAGAUCGUAGGCUGCAACUCGCCUACGUGAAGAAGGAAUCGCUAGUAAUCGCAGGUCAGCAUACUGCGGUGAAUACGUUCCCGGGCCUUGUACACACCGCCCGUCACACCAUGGAAGUUGGCCACGCCCGAAGUCGUUACUCCAACCCUUGUGGAGGAGGACGCCGAAGGUGGGGCUGAUGACU